This is a small nuclear RNA of Emys orbicularis (European pond turtle), 191 nucleotides long. RefSeq annotates it as U2 spliceosomal RNA. The transcript has a single exon. The record is from RefSeq and is a predicted model, not a curated record. Lineage: Eukaryota; Metazoa; Chordata; Testudines; Emydidae.
ACCGUUUAUUUCUAAAUAUUCUCUAAUAAAAAUUUAAAUCUGUUCUUAUCAGUUUAAUAUCUGAUAUGUUCUCGAUGUGAGAACUUUAUAUUAAACAGAUUUUUGGAACAGGGAGUUGGACUAGAAGCUUGCUUCUUCCACUCCAUGCAUCAACCUGGUAUUGCAGUACUUCUAGGUAUGGUGCGCCUCCC